Molecule: ribosomal RNA, 497 nt
Filed under: uncultured bacterium
Lineage: Bacteria
Description: partial 16S ribosomal RNA
Rfam family: Bacterial small subunit ribosomal RNA
Source: RNAcentral
GAUGAACGCUGGCGGCGUGCCUAAUACAUGCAAGUCGAGCGAACAGACGAGGAGCUUGCUCCUCUGACGUUAGCGGCGGACGGGUGAGUAACACGUGGAUAACCUACCUAUAAGACUGGGAUAACUUCGGGAAACCGGAGCUAAUACCGGAUAAUAUAUUGAACCGCAUGGUUCAAUAGUGAAAGACGGGUUUGCUGUCACUUAUAGAUGGAUCCGCGCCGCAUUAGCUAGUUGGUAAGGUAACGGCUUACCAAGGCGACGAUGCGUAGCCGACCUGAGAGGGUGAUCGGCCACACUGGAACUGAGACACGGUCCAGACUCCGACGGGAGGCAGCAGUAGGGAAUCUUCCGCAAUGGGCGAAAGCCUGACGGAGCAACGCCGCGUGAGUGAUGAAGGUCUUCGGAUCGUAAAACUCUGUUAUUAGGGAAGAACAAAUGUGUAAGUAACUAUGCACGUCUUGACGGUACCUAAUCAGAAAGCCACGGCUAACUACGUG